AGUCAGCGUGACAACCCUGUAAUUCGGGUCUAUGUCACAAGUUACUUUUAAAUGGGACAUAUCGAGCUCUUUGGUACUUUGACAGCUGGACCUUCCUGUAAUUCAGGUUAUGGUCUCUCCUAUUUGGCUAAUGCCAGUGACCACCCUGUAAUGAGGGGACAGGUUGCAUCUUGCUUUUGAAAUCUGGGGGAUUAGAAUCAUUUCCGUAACAUGGGCAGCUUGACCUCCCUGUAACUAGGGUUUGAGUCUCCGAGGCCCUUUGGGUCUCCAUUAGCUGGUUAGUGAGUGUGACUGCCCUGCAAUCAGGGUGCAAGUCACCUCCCCCUAAAUGUGGGGGGGCAUUGAGCUCUUUGUUAAACUGAGCAAUAUGACCGCCCUGUAACUAGGGCCCGGGUCUCUGCCCACUUGCUCAUUUGGCUUUACGCCAUGCUCUGCCCCACUAGUCAGCGUGACAACCCUGUAAUUAGGGUCCAUGUCACAAGUUACUUUUAAAUGGGACAUAUCGAGCUCUUUGGUACUUUGACAGCUGGACCUUCCUGUAAUUCAGGUUAUGGUCUCUCCUAUUUGGCUAAUGCCAGCGACCACCCUGUACUGAGGGGACAGGUUGCAUCUCGCUUUUGUAAUCUGGCGGAUUAGAAUCAUUUCCGUAACAUGGGCAGGUUGACCUCCCUGUAACUAGGGUUUGGUCUCCGAGGCCCUUUGGGUCUCUUGGCCUCGUGCUGUCUUCACAGCGUGCUGCGAAGGACCGCCCUGUCAUCAGGGAUCGGGUCUUUGCCCUCUAGUCUCUUGGCACUAGGCCAAAUGCAGCCACUGCCCCGAAUGAGCACCCUGUAAACAGGGUACAGGUCUCAUCAGCUACUCUUUAUGGUGCCCCCAUGAGACUGUGUCCAGAGUUCCGGCCCUUUAAGCAGCGCUUGCAACGUGCCUGGAAUUCUGCAGCCAAGUCUCCUGCUUUCUACUCCCUUCUUGGACUCUUGGAGACCUGACAUGCUAUUGGUGGCAUCAUGAAGCACAAGUGGAGAAGAAGGAAGUGUCAGGAAUGCCACAGACAGAGGAGAAAAGAAGAUGGAGGAAAAGGAAAGGAACUCUGGGCACAGUACCCUCCCUCAAAUCAGCCUCAGGUCAUGUAAUUAGACUGUAUGGGAAUCUCGAGCCUUUUAAUACCUUGAGCAGCGUGACCGCCCUGUAAGCUGGGUCCCGGUCUGUCCCCUUUGGACAUUCUGCUCCGUCAUCUGGCUAGUGUGAGUGACUGCCCUGUAAUCAGGGUGCCAGUCACCUCCCCCUAAAUGUGGAGGGGCAUUGAGCUCUUUCAUUAAUUGAGCAUUGUGACCGGCCUGUAAUUAGGGCCCGGGUCUCUGCCCACUUGCUCAUUUGGCAUUGCGCCGUGCUCUGCCCCACUAGUCAGCGUGACAACCCUGUAAUUAGGGUCCAUGUCACAAGGCUCUCCUGAAUGGGACAUAUCGAGCUCUUUGGUACUUUCACAGCUGGACCGUCCUGUAAUUCAGGUUAUGGUCUCUCCUCUUUGGCUAAUGCCAGUGACCACCCUGUAAUGAGGGGACAGGUUGCAUCUUGCUUUUGAAAUCUGGGGGAUUAGAAUCAUUUCCGUAACAUGGGCAGCUUGACCUCCCUGUAACUAGGGUUUGAGUCUCCGAGGCCCUUUGGGUCUCCAUUAGCUGGUUAGUGAGUGUGACUGCCCUGCAAUCAGGUUGCAAGUCACCUCCCCCUAAAUGUGGGGGGGCAUUGAGCUCUUUGUUAAACUGAGCAAUGUGACCGCCCUGUAACUAGGGCCCGGGUCUCUGCCCACUUGCUCAUUUGGCU
This is a long non-coding RNA of Mauremys reevesii (Reeves's turtle), 1818 nucleotides long. RefSeq lists it as uncharacterized. The transcript has 3 exons. The record is from RefSeq and is a predicted model, not a curated record. NCBI's taxonomy places the organism in Eukaryota, Metazoa, Chordata, Testudines, Geoemydidae.